This 225-nucleotide long non-coding RNA is filed under the name Homo sapiens (human). RNAcentral describes it as "non-protein coding lnc-P2RY1-5:1". Lineage: Eukaryota; Metazoa; Chordata; Mammalia; Primates; Hominidae. The record is from RNAcentral.
CGUGAGCCACCACGCCCGGCCCACGCCAUUCUCUUGCCUCAGCCUCCCGAGUAGCUGGGACUACAGGCGCCCACCACCACACCCCGCUAAUUUUUUGUAUUUUUAGUAGAGACGGGGUUUCACCAUGUUAGCCAGAAUGGUCUUGAUCUCCUGACUUCGUGAUCCGCCCGCCUCGGCCUUCCAAAGUGCUGGGAUUACAGGCGUCAGCCACCGCGCCCGGCCUAU